GAUGAACGCUGGCGGCGUGCCUAAUACAUGCAAGUCGAGCGAACAGACGAGGAGCUUGCUCCUCUGACGUUAGCGGCGGACGGGUGAGUAACACGUGGAUAACCUACCUAUAGGACUGGGAUAACUUCGGGAAACCGGAGCUAAUACCGGAUAAUAUAUUGAACCGCAUGGUUCAAUAGUGAAAGACGGUUUUGCUGUCACUUAUAGAUGGAUCCGCGCCGCAUUAGCUAGUUGGUAAGGUAACGGCUUACCAAGGCAACGAUGCGUAGCCGACCUGAGAGGGUGAUCGGCCACACUGGAACUGAGACACGGUCCAGACUCCUACGGGAGGGAGCAGUAGGGAAUCUUCCGCAAUGGGGGAAAGCCUGGCAGAGCAACGCCGCGUGAGUGAUGAAGGUCUUCGGAUCGUAAAACUCUGUUAUGGGGGAAGAACAAAUAUGUAAGUGACUAUGCACGUCUUGACGGUACCUAAUCAGAAAGCCACGGCUAACUACGUG
Molecule: ribosomal RNA, 497 nt
Filed under: uncultured bacterium
Lineage: Bacteria
Description: partial 16S ribosomal RNA
Rfam family: Bacterial small subunit ribosomal RNA
Source: RNAcentral